CUGGCGGCGUGCCUAACACAUGCAAGUCGAGCGGGGACAUGCGACGGAUCGGAAGUUUCGGAUGGAAGAGAAGAUGUAUGUUCUAGCGGCGGACGGGUGAGUAACGCGUGAGCAACCUGUCCUUCACAGGGGGAUAACACAGCGAAAGUUGUACUAAUACCGCAUAAGACCACGAUGGGACAUCCCAAAGGGGUCAAAGGAGCAAUCCGGUGAAGGGUGGGCUCGCGUCCGAUUAGAUAGUUGGUGAGGUAACGGCCCACCAAGUCGACGAUCGGUAGCCGACCUGAGAGGGUGAUCGGCCACAUUGGGACUGAGACACGGCCCAAACUCCUACGGGAGGCAGCAGUGGGGAAUAUUGGGCAAUGGGGGAAACCCUGACCCAGCAACGCCGCGUGAGGGAAGAAGGUUUUCGGAUCGUAAACCUCUGUCCUUGGUGAAGAGGAAGAGACGGUAGCCAAGGAGGAAGCCCCGGCUAACUACGUGCCAGCAGCUGC
This 494-nucleotide ribosomal RNA is filed under the name uncultured bacterium. Its description in RNAcentral is "bacterial SSU rRNA". It matches the Rfam family "Bacterial small subunit ribosomal RNA", at positions 36 to 518 of the family's 1533-position model. The record is from RNAcentral.